RNAcentral lists this ribosomal RNA (460 nucleotides) under uncultured bacterium. Its description in RNAcentral is "partial 16S ribosomal RNA". It matches the Rfam family "Bacterial small subunit ribosomal RNA", at positions 338 to 795 of the family's 1533-position model. The record is from RNAcentral.
CCUACGGGAGGCAGCAGUGAGGAAUAUUGGACCAUGGACGAGAGUCUGAACCAGCCAAGCAGCGUGAAGGAUGACUGCCCUAUGGGUUGUAAACUUCUUUUAUAUGGGAAUAAAACGUUCCACGUGUGGGAUUUUGUAUGUACCAUAUGAGCAAGGAUCGGCUAACUCCGUGCCAGCAGCCGCGGUAAUACGGAGGAGCCGAGCUUUACCCGGAUUUAUUGGGUUUAACGGGAGCGUAGGUGGAUUGUUAAGUCAGUUGUGAAAGUUUGCGGCUCAACCGUAAAAUUGCAGUUGAAACUGGCAGUCUUGAGUACAGUAGAGGUGGGCGGAAUUCGUGGUGUAGCGGUGAAAUGCUUAGAUAUCACGAAGAACUCCGAUUGCGAAGGCAGUUCACUGGACUGCAACUGACACUGAGGCUCGAAAGUGUGGGUAUCAAACAGGAUUAGAUACCCGGGUAGUC